Molecule: ribosomal RNA, 845 nt
Filed under: Eurillas latirostris (Yellow-whiskered greenbul)
Lineage: Eukaryota; Metazoa; Chordata; Aves; Passeriformes; Pycnonotidae
Description: partial 12S ribosomal RNA
Rfam family: Bacterial small subunit ribosomal RNA
Source: RNAcentral
GCAAGUAUCCGCGAUCCAGUGAGCAUGCCCUAGGUACCCCGAUUUCGGGUCGAUAGGAGCGGACAUCAGGCACACCCUCUUCACCAAUCGUAGCCCAAGACGUCUAGCAGUUGCCACGCCCCCACGGGUCCUCAGCAGUAGUUAACAUUAAGCCAUGAGUGAAAACUUGACUUAGUCAUAGCAAUUUAGGGCCGGUAAAUCCUGUGCCAGCCACCGCGGUCAUACAGGAGGCCCGAAUCAACAUUACUUACGGCGUAAAGAGUGGUCGCAUGCUAUCCAAGUAACUAAGAUUAAAAAGCAACUGAGCCGUCAUAAGCCCAAGAUGCCCAUAAGGCCGCUAUUCAAAGAAAAUCUUAGACUAACGAUCGAUUGAACCCACGAAAGCCAGGGCCCAAACUGGGAUUAGAUACCCCACUAUGCCUGGCCGUAAAUCUUGAUGCUUGAUCUUACCGGAGCAUCCGCCCGAGAACUACGAGCGCCAACGCUUAAAACUCUAAGGACUUGGCGGUGUCCCAAACCCACCUAGAGGAGCCUGUUCUAUAAUCGAUGAUCCACGAUAUACCUGACCAUUCCUUGCCAAAACAGCCUAUAUACCGCCGUCUCCAGCCCACCCAGCAUGAAGGCCCAACAGUGGACGCAAUAGCCAUACCACGCUAGUACGACAGGUCAAGGUAUAGCCCAUGGAAUGGUAGUAAUGGGCUACAUUUUCUAGUUUAGAAUACUACGGCAAAGGGACAUGAAACUGUCCCUGGAAGGCGGAUUUAGCAGUAAAGUGGGACAAUCGAGCCCUCUUUAAGCCGGCCCUGGGGCAUGUACAUACCGCCCGUCGCCCUCCUCAAAAGCUG